This 254-nucleotide ribosomal RNA is filed under the name uncultured bacterium. RNAcentral's name for it is "partial 16S ribosomal RNA". It matches the Rfam family "Bacterial small subunit ribosomal RNA", at positions 524 to 777 of the family's 1533-position model. The record is from RNAcentral.
UACAGAGGGUGCAAGCGUUAAUCGGAUUUACUGGGCGUAAAGCGCGCGUAGGCGGCUAAUUAAGUCAAAUGUGAAAUCCCCGAGCUUAACUUGGGAAUUGCAUUCGAUACUGGUUAGCUAGAGUGUGGGAGAGGAUGGUAGAAUUCCAGGUGUAGCGGUGAAAUGCGUAGAGAUCUGGAGGAAUACCGAUGGCGAAGGCAGCCAUCUGGCCUAACACUGACGCUGAGGUGCGAAAGCGUGGGGAGCAAACAGGG